UAUAAACGCCAUGCGUAAUAACGUCCGAGAGGUCCCGUGUUCUUAUAAAGAUGUUUUGACAUAAUGAAGUGUUCACAUAACGUCAUAUGUGUUUCUUACCUCGUAAUACCCAUUUGACAUUACGAUGUAUAUAUUUUGGCAUAAUGUAAUAGAAAUACGACAUAAAGAUUUUUUAACAUAACGUAAAGAAAUUUUCGCAUCAUGUAAUAAAACUUUCAGAUUAGGUAAUGAAACAACCACAUCACUUAAUGAAGUUUUCACAUCAUGUAAAGAGGAAACCACAUCAUAUAAUGAAGUUUUCACAUCAUGUAAAGAAGAUUUUACAUCAUGUAAAGAA
Molecule: long non-coding RNA, 337 nt
Filed under: Mytilus galloprovincialis (Mediterranean mussel)
Lineage: Eukaryota; Metazoa; Mollusca; Bivalvia; Mytilida; Mytilidae
Source: RNAcentral